RNAcentral lists this ribosomal RNA (554 nucleotides) under Neofusicoccum parvum. RNAcentral describes it as "eukaryotic LSU rRNA". The stretch from base 184 to 336 matches the Rfam family "5.8S ribosomal RNA". Lineage: Eukaryota; Fungi; Ascomycota; Dothideomycetes; Botryosphaeriales; Botryosphaeriaceae. The record is from RNAcentral.
CAUUACCGAGUUGAUUCGAGCUCCGGCUCGACUCUCCCACCCAAUGUGUACCUACCUCUGUUGCUUUGGCGGGCCGCGGUCCUCCGCACCGGCGCCCUUCGGGGGGCUGGCCAGCGCCCGCCAGAGGACCAUAAAACUCCAGUCAGUGAACUUCGCAAUCUGAAAAACAAGUUAAUAAACUAAAACUUUCAACAACGGAUCUCUUGGUUCUGGCAUCGAUGAACAACGCAGCGAAAUGCGAUAAGUAAUGUGAAUUGCAGAAUUCAGUGAAUCAUCGAAUCUUUGACGCACAUUGCGCCCCUUGGUAUUCCGAGGGGCAUGCCUGUUCGAGCGUCAUUUCAACCCUCAAGCUCUGCUUGGUAUUGGGCCCCGUCCUCCACGGACGCGCCUUAAAGACCUCGGCGGUGGCGUCUUGCCUCAAGCGUAGUAGAAAACACCUCGCUUUGGAGCGCACGGCGUCGCCCGCCGGACGAACCUUUGAAUUAUUUCUCAAGGUUGACCUCGGAUCAGGUAGGGAUACCCGCUGAACUUAAGCAUAUCAAUAAGCGGAGGAA